RNAcentral lists this ribosomal RNA (253 nucleotides) under uncultured bacterium. RNAcentral describes it as "partial 16S ribosomal RNA". It matches the Rfam family "Bacterial small subunit ribosomal RNA", at positions 524 to 776 of the family's 1533-position model. The record is from RNAcentral.
UACGUAGGUGGCAAGCGUUGUCCGGAUUUACUGGGCGUAAAGAGCGCGCAGGCGGUCGUACAAGUCGCGUGUGAAAGCCCCCGGCUCAACUGGGGAGGGUCACGCGAUACUGUUCGACUCGAAGGCAGGAGAGGGAAGUGGAAUUCCCGGUGUAGUGGUGAAAUGCGUAGAUAUCGGGAGGAACACCAGUGGCGAAGGCGACUUCCUGGCCUGUUCUUGACGCGGAGGCGCGAAAGCUAGGGGAGCAAACGGG